CACCCCUGCCGCGCGGUUCUCGGGCAGUCGGCGCAAGUCUCAACCGGCUCGGAACGAGAGGCACCUGCCCGUCCGCCAGCCUCAAAACAGCGCGCGGUGCCGCUCCCGGGAUACCUGGGUUCCCGCUGGUCCUGCCACGACCCCCGGGGCGCUCCUCGCUGCGGCCUUAUUAGGAGGCGGCCCCCGCAGGGAGCAGGAAGCAGAAAGUCUCUGCAAACCCUUCCAGAGGGCGGACGACGGUGGAGUGCUGAAUUAUACCCAUAUGGCCAACAGAUGGGGACCCUGGGCUGCAGGAGCUGUAGGCCCCCCCGGGAGAACCUCUCUUCUCUGCCCUGCGCGGGCUCUUGAGGACCGUGGUCAAAGGAGCCCAAGUCUUGCAUCGCGGCAUCCUGACACACACUCAUUGGCCCCAUGAAGUCGGGGGCGCUGAUUGAGAAGCAUUAUGAUGAGGUCACUGCCAGCCGUGAAUGCGCUCUCUGCGUGCCAGGAACGACCGCAUCCUGUUCCACGUCCUGGAACUGCUGGGCUCAGGUGUGCAGCCCCGUGGCCAGAAUAAUGCCUGCCCCAUCACAAAAGAGUCGGCUUCCAUCUUUCCUCUUGCUGACGGAGUCGUUUGGGGCUGGAUGUGCUCAGAGGAGGUAAGCUCACGAACUGCUCCACAAAUGUAUCGGCUAGACUGUGGGCUAAGCUGCUAUAACAAAGAGACCCCCAAACACCGUGGCCCAAAUGUGUAAAACUUGAUUCCUCUCUCAUUAACAGAGGUCAUAAGGUAAAGAUAGGAGGUGGGCGAGCAGCCCUGCUGUAUGAAACCUCAACUUUCCACAUCCUGCUCGUCUUCAAGGCCAGCUCUGGGCCCAGCACCCUCGGGGACCCUGGGCCCCUCUGGUCCACAGGGUGAGCUCCCUUCAGAGGACACAGCACACACGGCCAUGCAGGGCUGGGUGACCUGGCAGGUGAGAAAGCUCUGCCUCCUCCACCCAAGUGGGGGCUCCUGGAGGUUAAGGGUCAUGUCUUCUUGGCUUUUAUCCCCAUGAUGUCAGCACAGGGGAGGCUCCCCGGGAGAGUUUUUCCCCCAGCAUGCCUGGGAACUGCCGUCAGCCACCAUCAUGAAAGCUGAGGUGUUUGCUUGUCAUCACUUACAUAUUUUCAGCUUAAAUACCAUACAGUUUCUUCGUAUCUUCCAAUGAAUGAAAGGAAAAAAAUGUAUAUGGGGGGGUGUGAAAAUUAACUCAUAAAAAUCCUUGACUUACCAAAAAAAUUCAAGAAAUGUGCUUCAUACACACAGAUGUGGCAAUUGGGAUGCUCCUUUCAUGUGCAGGAGCCCCAGGAUGGAAGGGCUGCCAGGCGUACCGAGGGAAGUAUUUCUCAUCUCUGUAAAGUUGAUAGAAUCUAAUUUCUUAGUGGAGAAACUUGCUGCGGUUGUUAGUUUGUGGUAACUGCCCCUCUUUAACUGGUUUAUGGCUGAUCCCAAUCCCAAAGAGCAGUAUAAUUCAGUUAUCUACGAUGGUGUGGAAGGCACAAUUUGUGCAUUAAAGGGCAAAAGCACACUGUUCAGGUGGGCUGGCCCUUGGGAGCCCUCCUGAGAUAUUUCACAGCGGGUAUGAGUAGGUGGGGGAGGACAUAUUUUGUUUCACCUGCUUAAAAUGUUUUCAGACCAAUAACCUUGUGGCCAUUCUCUGUGUUAGAUCCAAUUUCAAGCUCUUUCUUCUGGAGCAUCUUGGUCCUGUCCACUGCUGCUCCUUUAGUCUACUUCUGCAGUGAGUGGGGUAUUGUGUAUCCUUUCCUGGCACUGGAACAUUUAUAAAUGUAGCAAGCCUUCCUCUGCUUUGGCUGCUGGCUAAAUCCUAUGACUCUACACCUAACCAACCUCAUAAAUAGGGAGGCCUCGUACCGUUGUGCAGGUUGCACACUGCACAACUCCAAGGAGUGCCAUUUACAUGGACCACAAUGGAACCUCCAGAGCUGUAUUAGGACGACCUGCACAAUACUCCAGUAAAGCCCCAUCUCAUAAAUUUCUCUACAUGCCAAGGGCUCUCUUCUAAAUACCACCCUGACAAAACAGACAAAAUUCCUACCCCCAGGAAGCUUACAUUCUAGUGGGGGGAAAUACAUAAUAAACAAAUUACAGAUGCCUAUGUGUAAUAUUAUGUCACACAUAUAAUAUUACAUAUGUACAUACAGCACUACAUAUGUGCAUAUAUAAUAUUACAUGUAUAUGUAAUUAUGUAUAAUAUAUUAGUGGUGAUAAAGAAGUAGAAAAUAAAUCAGGGAAGGGGAAGAGAGUGGCGGAGGUGAAUUUUAGAGAGCAGAGAUCUGGGAAGGACUUUCUGAGAAGAUGCCAUUUGUGCGAAGCCUGAAGAGUGAGGAAUGUGCUGUGUUCCCUGGGGGAAGGACACUCCACACAGAAGGAACAGCACGUGCAAAGGCCCUGAGGCAGGAGUGUGACCAGUGCUGAAGAAGCGGCAGGGAGGCUGGUGUGGCUACAAUGGGGUCAGAGGGAUAGUGACGUGGUCAGAUGGAUCCCGAAGCGGGGCCACUUCAGACUUUGGAGGCUGUGAUGUACUUGGAGCUUACUCUGCAUCAGAUGAGAAGCCAUCCAAGGGUUUUGAGUAGAGGAGUGGCAAAAUUUCAAAAAAAUCACCCUGACCAACAAGUUGAGAUCAGACAAAGGAUACAGAGGAGGAAGCAGGAGACCAAUUAGGAGCAAUUGGGGGGAUUCCGAGGUGACGGUGCCCUGAGCCAGCUUGGUGGUGGGAGCAGGUGAGAAAGGCUCUUUUUUUUUAGACUGGCUGGUGAGGCUGGAGGGAGGGGACCCAUGUCGGGGUCAAGGUUAGGGAGGUGGGCAGGGGCAGGGCAGUCCAGGUUGAGUCUUGCCCCCACGUUGCAGGAACAUUGGGUUUGAUUUCCCAGCAGGGGGGCUGAGAUUUAUCCUGACUGCCGAGUGCAGCAGGGCUGCUGGCAUGAGGGGUGUCCCGGGCAUGGGGAACAAGAUGCUGGGAGACUGGAUCAGGUCAGAAAUGGUGCAAGUGGGAGAUUUGCUCGGUUGUGCUCUGAAGGCCUUGCUGACGGACUGAAGGAAGGAAGAGGAAAGUCAAGGCGGACUCCUGGGUUGUGGCUUGAGCAACGGAAUGGAUGUUGGUUCUGGUUAUGAGAAGCGGAAAACUGGAAGAGAACCAGCCAGGUUUGGGGGAGAAACAAGGGGUUCCACUACGACCAUGACAUAAGACGAUGUUAAAUGGGAGAUGCCUAUUAGUCACUUGGCGCUUCUGUGUGUAAUCUACAAAGGAAGUCACACAUUCAUUCAAUUACUAUUUGUCGAAUGAGUAAGUGGGUGCCAGCCCUUCUGGAUGAGGGAGGCUAGACUGGGAGUCAAAGAUGGCAAUUCAGAGUGAUGAUGCUAACACGACCCCAGGGGAAGCUGUCCCACCCCUGUUACUGUCACCGGUCGUACCAGCCAUUGGCAGAGGAGCUGGGCUGGGAACAAAGAUCGCUCUGCUAUAGGCAAAGGGUCUGCGUGGAGGAGAGACGGCAGGACCCAUGUGCCCAGGCCGGGACUGAACCCAAGUCCUCGUGGGUACCAGUCCAUGUGGAUUCGUUUCCGCUGCACCACAGCAGGAACUCCUAUCUGUCUUUUUAAUUUUAGCCAUCCCAGUGUAUGUGAAGUGGUAUCUCAUGGCAGUUUUGAUUUGUGUUGUCUUAGUGACUAAUGAUGUUUUGCUUCUGUCAGUUUCAGCCUCUGAAGGAUGUGGGGUCCCCAGACCAGGACAUGAUGGUAAUUAGAAUAGUGCUGUCGACGCCUUCCCUUCAAGCCUAAAGAGGUGCAGGUUUUAUCAGAGUAGGAGCCAACAGGUAGGCUCUUUCCGCAACACGUGUGGUUUUUGCCUGAGAGCCUGGCAGUGGAAGUGAACGCCUCCCCCCAAAAACAGUUUAAAAAUUAUUUUCACACACUAAACAAGUAGCUGAAGAAAAAAAUAAACUAACGUGGAUAAAAGAGAAACUCUACCGGAAGAGAUUUUAUUAUUUAAAUACUUGCUAGGAUGAUUUUCAAGGAGCCCAGACUCUUGCAUCGCCCCAAGCAUAGAAAAGCACUAAAAUCAUUAAUGUCAGACGUCUGAUUUCUUUUAAUUAGUGAUAAUCUUUUGAGGUUUGACAACAUUUUUUCAUUUUGUUUUGUUUUUCAGCAAAAACUCAUAUAAGCCUAGUUCCUCCCUUAGCUUGUUGCAAGAGUCCCUUCGAUGUUUCCAUGAGGCUAUAUCCCAGGCUCUAGUCCUCAGAGAUUCCCCAGAUAAAACACAGUUCUCAACUCUGAGGUUGGGCAUUUUUUCUUUUCCGUCGACACCCAGGACAUCCACUGGUCCUGUACUAUCCGAGAGAAACAGGCACUUUCUUAGAUCUGGGAGUUAAACUUCCUUCAGAGACAUCUCAUGGCAACUACCUCACGCACGGACUGUUUCCUGCCUGCUGGGGGUUUUAUUGGGAGCCCUCUGUUGCACAAUCACAAGAAUUUCAGUGUUCCCAGCCUGCAGUUCUGGGAUUAGAGGGUGCAGUUCUGGGAUUAGAGGGCUAAGUUCCUGGGGCCCUGGAAGGAAAAUCUAGCACUAGGAUUCUCUAAAGCCUAAACUUGAUGGGAAAUGGGUUUGAUGUUCACUUAGUGUGCAAACCAGGAAUUCCCUAAAAAUGACAUUGCGAGUCUAGUGGGAAUCCUACCAACAUGUUCGGGGAGGUUCCAGAACUUUCAUCAUUGUUUGGGAAAUGGGAUUCCAAUCUUGAAUGCCUCCUUCCCAGGCUCAUUCUUUCAUCCUGUAUCAUGAUGCCUGACUCUGCUUUUUAGAGCUUAUAGCAGGAGACAUCUCCCACCACGGCAGAUUUUUAAAAAAGAAGUUUGCAGUUGUUUACACAUACCCUGUUCUCUGGGGAACUUGGGUCAGGAUCCGAUUGUAGACCAGUUUUGUGCUCUGGGAGCAGCCAGCUGGAGAGACAGUUAAAGAAGAGAGAGGAGAAGCAGCAGCUAAAGGCAGGCUUUGUACAUUUUGUAAACAGUCUGGCCUCUAUCACCUACAGCCCAUGUGGUCUGGGGCAAAUGACUUUCUAAGAACCUCCAUUUCCUCCUCUGAAAAACCAAGGUAAGGCUGCUUACUCACCACAAAGGGCUGAUAUGAGGCAUAUAUAAACCACCAAGAGAGCACUUGUUGUGCUCAGCGAUACCGAAGAGGCUGUGGUUGUUUUUGCUCUUCCCUCCAGCAGCGAGUGGAAUGCGCCUCUCCUUGUCUCAUCUGCCUCCUCCCAGACCCCCCACCCCAAACCCAGGGGAGAACUCCGGGCAUCCAGAAGGUGUUCCAGAACACUGUUCUUAGGUGAAACAAAUUCAGGUUUCCAGUUGAAUAAAAGAGACAAUAGAUGAGUGGAUUUGGUCGUGAAACAGAUAUGUACAGAGACCCUGUUAAUGUUCCAGACUGUUCUAGGCACAGAAGAAACAGCUGUGAAUGAAACAGACAAGAAUCCAUGCCCUCAUGGAGCUUCUCUGCUAGAAAGGAGAGAGAGACUCUAAAUAAAGAAAUCGCGGAAAUGGACGGUAACUGGAGGAAGGGCUAUGCCAAAAAUAAAUCGAGGAAGGAGAAGGCCAUUCCCGUCGUGGCUCAGCGGUUAACGAAUCCAACUAGGAACCAUGAGGUUGUGGGUUCGAUCCCUGCCCUUGGUCAGUGGGUUGACGAUCCGGCGUUGCCGUGAGCUGUGGUGUAGGUUGCAGACGCAGCUCGGAUCCCGCCUUGCUGUGGCUAUGGUGUAGGCCAGUGGCUACAACUGCGACUCGACCCCUAGCCUGGGAAUCUCCAUAUGCCUCUGGUGCGGCCCUAGAAAAAGGCAAAAAG
RNAcentral lists this long non-coding RNA (5867 nucleotides) under Sus scrofa (pig). RNAcentral's name for it is "lncRNA (ENSSSCG00060022084.1)". The record is from RNAcentral. Lineage: Eukaryota; Metazoa; Chordata; Mammalia; Artiodactyla; Suidae.